RNAcentral lists this ribosomal RNA (472 nucleotides) under uncultured Comamonadaceae bacterium. Its description in RNAcentral is "bacterial SSU rRNA". It matches the Rfam family "Bacterial small subunit ribosomal RNA", at positions 8 to 475 of the family's 1533-position model. Lineage: Bacteria; Pseudomonadati; Pseudomonadota; Betaproteobacteria; Burkholderiales; Comamonadaceae. The record is from RNAcentral.
AGAGUUUGAUCCUGGCUCAGAUUGAACGCUGGCGGAAUGCUUUACACAUGCAAGUCGAACGGCAGCACGGGGGCAACCCUGGUGGCGAGUGGCGAACGGGUGAGUAAUACAUCGGAACGUGCCCAGUCGUGGGGGAUAACGUAGCGAAAGCUACGCUAAUACCGCAUACGAACUCUGGUUGAAAGCGGGGGAUCGCAAGACCUCGCGCGAUUGGAGCGGCCGAUGGCAGAUUAGGUAGUUGGUGGGGUAAAGGCUCACCAACCCGACGAUCUGUAGCUGGUCUGAGAGGACGACCAGCCCCACUGGGACUGAGACACGGCCCAGACUCCUACGGGAGGCAGCAGUGGGGAAUUUUGGACAAUGGGCGCAAGCCUGGUCCAGCCAUUCCGCGUGCAGGAUGAAGGCCCUCGGGUUGUAAAAUGCUUUUGUACGGAACGAAAAGGCCUGGGUUAAUACCUCGGGCUCAUGACGG